Small nuclear RNA from Nicotiana attenuata, 155 nucleotides. It matches the Rfam family "U1 spliceosomal RNA". From Rfam's summary of the family: U1 is a small nuclear RNA (snRNA) component of the spliceosome (involved in pre-mRNA splicing). Its 5' end forms complementary base pairs with the 5' splice junction, thus defining the 5' donor site of an intron. The record is from Rfam. Lineage: Eukaryota; Viridiplantae; Streptophyta; Magnoliopsida; Solanales; Solanaceae.
UUACUUACCCGGACAGGGUCCAUAGGUGAUCAUGAAGGCCUAUGACCUAGGUUGGUGACCUUCUUUCCUUUGGAAGGGCGCUCGCCUGAAGUGGGUCCAAGUGAUCGAACCUAAGUCAUAAUUUGUGGCAAAAAAUACAUGACAUGGUUCGAGUC